RNAcentral lists this long non-coding RNA (218 nucleotides) under Mytilus galloprovincialis (Mediterranean mussel). The record is from RNAcentral. Lineage: Eukaryota; Metazoa; Mollusca; Bivalvia; Mytilida; Mytilidae.
CUCGUCAAAACUUACACAUCAAAUCAAAGUCCUUUAUUCUUUAUUUUUAUCUUCAAACUUGGAGUUUGGGUGAAAAUUGUCAAGUCUCCUGAUCGAAAAAAUCUAAAUAUUUACGAGGAAACUAAAAAUGAUGGGCUGAAUUUAAAUUUAAUAAAGCAUCUCAUUAAGACAAACACUCGAUAUGAAUAUCUCGGCAAUAGAAUGUUGGAUACGCAAAC